GAUACAUGUACAGCCGGUCAGGGAAUGAUCUGAAGUGACCCUGCCGGCUCAUUCACACCUGGAAUAGUGGAAGGGCUAGCUUCACUACUCACGUACCAAUCUUUUUUUUUUUAUUGUACCCGCAGUGUAAUUGCCUGUAAUAGAAGCUUUUGUAUCCCUACAUGUUGCGCUGGUGUGGGGGCACCCAUGGGCGCCCUGUGGAUCUCAGCGCUAGAUAAAGCGAGCUGGUUGUUGCAAACAGGGUCGGACUGAUCCCAGCCUCCCUGCCGCCAGCCCACAAGGCGCACCCUCUAAAUUCCAUAAUUACCAACUCACUCCCGACUGCAGCUACCGCUAAUGCUACUUUCCCUUUAAGAGGAGAACCGUACGUCUUAAGGAGCCUGCGCGAUGACGUCACCCGGCAUGCUUUACGUGGGAGAACCAGAGGGAGAGUGAGGCAAAAUGGCAAAUAAUGUGAACUGGAUUCAGCGUUCAAGUGUGCCAAGUUUUGCACAGAUGCUAAAGAAGAAUUUACCUGCUCAAGCUCCAGCUGUGAAUCUGAGCUCCACAGUUUCCACAUGCUGCCCAUAUGUUGAACCUGAUUGUGGAACAGCAAAGGUUACUCAAAUCACAGGUUUUCCACAGAUUACUUUCCCAGAACCAUUUUUAUCAGAAAUGAUUGUACCUGCAUCACUCUCCUCACUGCCACCUAGAAAGGUUACAAAGGAAUUUGUGGUAAAAUACAGACGUGGUGACCUCAAUCCUGUUUCUGCUUUAUACCAGUUUGCACAGAUGCAGCGAAUGGAAAUUGAUCUGAAAGAGACUGUAACAACAGGAAACGUCUUUGGUGCUUAUUUUGCAUUCUGUGCUGUUAUUGAUGGAAUUGAAUACAAGCCUGGAAUGAGGCAAAAGCAAAUGCUGCAAUUCGUGCACUUGAUGAACUUCUUCUACAUGAAGAUUCUGAGUUACCAGCUCCACAUUCUGAAAGCCUAAACAUUAUGGAAAAUCCUCCUCUCAUACCUUUGAAACCAAAGGUCACAACAGAAACAUCUACCAUUUCAAGAGCACAAACUGCUAAGUAAAUGGCCUACAACAAU
This is a long non-coding RNA of Xenopus tropicalis (tropical clawed frog), 1076 nucleotides long. RefSeq annotates it as adenosine deaminase domain-containing protein 1. The transcript has 5 exons. NCBI's taxonomy places the organism in Eukaryota, Metazoa, Chordata, Amphibia, Anura, Pipidae. The record is from RefSeq and is a predicted model, not a curated record.